GCAGUUUUGUGCUGAUGUAAAUCCAACUUCCAGACUACAUUUUGUAUUCAAUUUUCUUUGCUUAAAACUGAAGAAAGUAAGCUGACAAUCUGGCGUGCCUCAGAAAAAGAUCACAGAUCAAGAGCAUUGGCCAAAGAAUUAAGAGAAAGAAGAAGGCUGUCAGGUGCUUUCUACCACUUUCAGGCCAUCAGAGCAUGUGUGUGGGAAAGAGACAUAGUCCUGUCCACCAGAGGUAACCAUUUCCAAGCAUCAUCGGGCAGUGGCUCUAACUGCCUCUCUCCUCACGGAGUCUAAUUGAGCUCAUGCAACUAAACCUCUACCUAGUACUUUGGAACUCAGGAAUAUUUCCAGAAGACACCUCAACAUGAAGGAAUGGUGAUGUACAAUAUUUAUAAGAGGAAAAAUGCAUUUUUUCAUUUGGUCACUGAU
Molecule: long non-coding RNA, 429 nt
Filed under: Chinchilla lanigera (long-tailed chinchilla)
Lineage: Eukaryota; Metazoa; Chordata; Mammalia; Rodentia; Chinchillidae
Description: lncRNA (ENSCLAG00000023890.1)
Source: RNAcentral